ACAUGAAUACAAUUCUAGCGCCGGCAGUAAAUGGGAUUUUGGAUUUUAUCUCCUCCAAUUCACUUUGAAAUCUUGGAUCUAAAAAUGAACAAAGGGAUCUAGAAACAACAAUAAGAGCCAAAGAAUCUCUGAAUACCAAUAGAAAUUCAGCCUCACAAGGAAACAGUUGGGCCCGAAUUCAAGGCAACAAUUGAAGCAAGAUACUUUCAAACAUAGCCAACAGACCACCUUUCUUUGAGGGUCUGUUGCAACAAGUUUGAAAGUAAGAGGGGUAUUAUCUGCUUGUGAGCAACCUUAGAAUAACAAUUGAGACAUCAGAGCCUCUGAAUAUCAAUCAUACAGAAAUCAAGAA
This 352-nucleotide small RNA is filed under the name Histoplasma capsulatum G186AR. RNAcentral describes it as "hypothetical RNA". Lineage: Eukaryota; Fungi; Ascomycota; Eurotiomycetes; Onygenales; Ajellomycetaceae. The record is from RNAcentral.